AGUCCCGCUGUGGGGUCAGAGUGGAGGACACAUGACAGUCUGUGACUCCUUUUCUCACGUGACUUUGGCCCUUUAGGAGUCACCUAACUUUCUCAGGGGAUUUCCACUGUGACCCGUUUUUAUUUUCCUUACUUAGAGGUAAAGCCGUAAGACUUGGAGCCCACCCGGUUGACCCCUGGGAGAAGGCAGGGGUCCUCUGGGGAGGUUAGGGGCAAGAGCCCGGCUGCAGAGGUGGGAGGACCCCCUUCCUGCAGGAGGUGCUCCCAGACUCUCAGCCCUUCCUCCCCUCCCCUGCCGGGCCCCUCCCUGACUCGGGCCUGUGCUUCUGCCAUUUCCUUGGCCUAGAAGGCAGCCCAGAGGUCUCCCAAGGCCCAGGCCCAGUCGCCUCCUCUGGGAGCCUCUGUGUAUCCCCUCCACCCUGGUGGGCACUGUCCCUCCUGGGGGACCGUGUCCCAUUCCUUAGCACCCUCUGGCCUGUACCUGGGAUUCCUCAGCCCACUCCCUGCUCGGCCCCAUCCAGAGCUGCCCACACGGCACCUGUGCCUGUCCUGGGCCCCACCGCUAGGAAAGAGGA
Non-coding RNA from Microcebus murinus (gray mouse lemur), 574 nucleotides. Lineage: Eukaryota; Metazoa; Chordata; Mammalia; Primates; Cheirogaleidae. The record is from RefSeq and is a predicted model, not a curated record.